GGCGCCGUUGCCGGGGAUUGUCAAGAAGUUGCUUUAAUAUUUCCGAUAGGACUUUAUAGUACUUCAGGCUUUUAUUUGUUUUUAUUUUUUUUUCUGUUUUUAUUUUUUUAGUGUGGUUUUAUAGGGUGCGCAUGAACACUAGAUCUCACGGAAAUCCUCUUUUUGAGUUGGACCUUGAAAUCAACAAGACUUUGCGCGAUCUUAAGAAGCAGAACAAUCAAGUUGAGACAAACACGAUGGCUACUCCUGAGCAAAUCCAAAUUCAAAUGCGAGCUCUGCAAGAGCAAUUGAAGAAGCUGAUUGAUAAAUCGGAGGCUGAAGAGGGUCAGAAGCAACCAGCCAUCAAUGAAGCAUUCAUACCACAGUAUGUGUA
This 373-nucleotide long non-coding RNA is filed under the name Salvia miltiorrhiza (redroot sage). RNAcentral describes it as "long non-coding RNA (SMIL_LNC012740)". Lineage: Eukaryota; Viridiplantae; Streptophyta; Magnoliopsida; Lamiales; Lamiaceae. The record is from RNAcentral.